Mus musculus (house mouse) is the source of this 108-nucleotide non-coding RNA. Lineage: Eukaryota; Metazoa; Chordata; Mammalia; Rodentia; Muridae. The record is from Rfam.
GUGCUGAUUUUGGAAGCACAUAUUCUAAAAUUGGAAAAAUACAAAAAAGAUUAGCAUGUCCCCUGAACAAGAAUGAUACACACACACACACACACACACACACACACA